GUGAGGAAUAUUGGUCAAUGGGCGGGAGCCUGAACCAGCCAAGUCGCGUGAAGGAAGAAGGAUCUAUGGUUCGUAAACUUCUUUUGCAGGGGAAUAAAGUGCAGGACGUGUCCUGUUUUGUAUGUACCCUGAGAAUAAGGAUCGGCUAACUCCGUGCCAGCAGCCGCGGUAAUACGGAGGAUCCGAGCGUUAUCCGGAUUUAUUGGGUUUAAAGGGUGCGUAGGUGGUUUGAUAAGUCAGCGGUGAAAGUUUGCAGCUUAACUGUAAAAAUGCCGUUGAAACUGUCGGACUUGAGUGUAAAUGAGGUAGGCGGAAUGCGUGGUGUAGCGGUGAAAUGCAUAGAUAUCACGCAGAACUCCGAUUGCGAAGGCAGCUUACUAAGCUACAACUGACACUGAAGCACGAAAGCGUGGGAAUCAAACAGGAUUAGAAACCCCGGUAGUCC
This 445-nucleotide ribosomal RNA is filed under the name uncultured bacterium. RNAcentral's name for it is "partial 16S ribosomal RNA". It matches the Rfam family "Bacterial small subunit ribosomal RNA", at positions 354 to 796 of the family's 1533-position model. The record is from RNAcentral.